AUUGAACGCUGGCGGCAGGCCUAACACAUGCAAGUCGAGCGGUAGCACAGAGAGCUUGCUCUCGGGUGACGAGCGGCGGACGGGUGAGUAAUGUCUGGGAAACUGCCUGAUGGAGGGGGAUAACUACUGGAAACGGUAGCUAAUACCGCAUAACGUCGCAAGACCAAAGUGGGGGACCUUCGGGCCUCAUGCCAUCAGAUGUGCCCAGAUGGGAUUAGCUAGUAGGUGGGGUAACGGCUCACCUAGGCGCCGUACCCUAGCUGGUCUGAGAGGAUGACCAGCCAAACUGGAACUGAGACACGGUCCAGAGUCCUACGGGAGGCAGCAGUGGGGAAUAUUGCACAAGGGGCGCAAGCCUGCUGCAGCCAUGCGGCGGGUGUGAAGAAGGCCUUCGGGUUGUAAAGCACUUUCAGCGGGGAGGAAGGCGGUGAGGUUAAUAACCUCACCGAUUGACGUUACCCGCAGAAGAAGCACCGGCUAACUCCGUGCCAGCCGCCGCAGUAA
RNAcentral lists this ribosomal RNA (504 nucleotides) under uncultured bacterium. RNAcentral describes it as "partial 16S ribosomal RNA". It matches the Rfam family "Bacterial small subunit ribosomal RNA", at positions 29 to 523 of the family's 1533-position model. The record is from RNAcentral.